Molecule: ribosomal RNA, 445 nt
Filed under: uncultured bacterium
Lineage: Bacteria
Description: partial 16S ribosomal RNA
Rfam family: Bacterial small subunit ribosomal RNA
Source: RNAcentral
GUGGGGAAUAUUGGGCAAUGGAUGCAAGUCUGACCCAGCCAUCCCGCGUGCCGGAAGAAGGCCCUCAGGGUUGUAAACGGCUUUUGACGGUGAAGAAUCGACAGGAUGCGUCCUGUUUUGACGGUAGCCGUUGAAUAAGCACCGGCUAACUCCGUGCCAGCAGCCGCGGUAAUACGGAGGGUGCGAGCGUUGUCCGGAUUUAUUGGGUUUAAAGGGUGCGUAGGCUGGAAGGUCAGUCAGCGGUGAAAAGCUGUCGCUUAACGAUAGUCUUGCCGCAGAUACUUCCUUUCUUGGAUGAGGAGGAGGCCACUGGAACGGAUGGUGUAGCGGUGAAAUGCAUAGAUAUCAUCCAGAACACCGAUUGCGAAGGCAGGUGGCUGUACCUUAAUCGACGCUGAUGCACGAAAGCAUGGGGAGCAAACAGGAUUAGAAACCCCUGUAGUCC